Molecule: antisense RNA, 175 nt
Filed under: Leptolyngbya sp. Heron Island J
Lineage: Bacteria; Bacillati; Cyanobacteriota; Cyanophyceae; Leptolyngbyales; Leptolyngbyaceae
Description: Antisense RNA which regulates isiA expression
Rfam family: Antisense RNA which regulates isiA expression
Source: Rfam by way of RNAcentral
GAUAGCCAAAAAUCUCUGCUGGAUUCAGAUUAGGCGCAACUGUAUGCACUGAUUGAGUCAAAGGGUCGUAGAGCCCACCCAGAAACAUCGCCUUAGCGACCAAAAGCAGGGCACCUCCGCCUAACAGCACCAAGUGUGACCCUAAAAUUUCAGUCAUUUUGUCACCGUCACUCCA